This 301-nucleotide ribosomal RNA is filed under the name uncultured bacterium. RNAcentral's name for it is "partial 16S ribosomal RNA". It matches the Rfam family "Bacterial small subunit ribosomal RNA", at positions 509 to 807 of the family's 1533-position model. The record is from RNAcentral.
CAGUAGCCACGGGAAUACGAAGGGUGCAAGCGUUACUCGGAAUUACUGGGCGUAAAGCGUGUGUAGGUGGUUGUUUAAGUCUGUCGUGAAAGCCCUGGGCUCAACCUGGGAAUUGCGAUGGAUACUGGGCGACUAGAGUGCGGUAGAGGAUAGUGGAAUUUCCGGUGUAGCAGUGAAAUGCGUAGAGAUGUGGAGGAACACCAGUGGCGAAGGCGACUCUCUGGUCUGUAACUGACGCUGAGGAGCGAAAGCGUGGGGAGCGAACAGGAUUAGAUACCCCUGUAGUCCCUGUCUCUUAUAC